Molecule: ribosomal RNA, 163 nt
Filed under: uncultured bacterium
Lineage: Bacteria
Description: partial 16S rRNA
Rfam family: Bacterial small subunit ribosomal RNA
Source: RNAcentral
UAGGGAAUCUUCCACAAUGGACGAAAGUCUGAUGGAGCAACGCCGCGUGAGUGAAGAAGGUUUUCGGAUCGUAAAGCUCUGUUGUUGGUGAAGAAGGAUAGAGGCAGUAACUGGCCUUUAUUUGACGGUAAUCAACCAGAAAGUCACGGCUAACUACGUGCCA